Macrobrachium nipponense is the source of this 502-nucleotide long non-coding RNA. RefSeq lists it as uncharacterized. The transcript has 3 exons. Lineage: Eukaryota; Metazoa; Arthropoda; Malacostraca; Decapoda; Palaemonidae. The record is from RefSeq and is a predicted model, not a curated record.
UUGUCACUUCCAUUGUUAGUUCCGGCCAUUACAGCCUGCAUAUCAGUGAUGUAGGACCAGCUGGUAUUCAUCUACCAGUCGCUACCACUACUACCACCACCUGCAUCGGCCCUUGGGACUUGCACACGCUAUUAUACUAUAUAUAUAUAUAUAGGCCUCUGCCACGUGGAGGUUAUUCACUGGAUCCUCUUGGAGUAAGAUUUUUCCUGCAGGGCUGCACAGAUGUCAGGAUAUCUCUACAGAUCAUCUACCAGUGUCUGUUUUCCAAAGAGGUGGUCCCCGGGUUACGACGGGUCUGGCUUACGACGUUCCGAGGUUACGACGCUCUUUCUUAAAUAUUCAUUGAAAAAUCCGCCCUGGGUUACGACGCUUGUUCCGAGGUUACGACACUGACGCUUCCGACGCUCCGAGUUUACGACGCUUUUAAAAAACACAUACUAUGAUAAGAUAAGAAUCCUUUAUAGUUUAGCACAGUCUCUCUCUCUCUCUCUCUCUCUUUGUA